Molecule: ribosomal RNA, 198 nt
Filed under: uncultured bacterium
Lineage: Bacteria
Description: partial 16S ribosomal RNA
Rfam family: Bacterial small subunit ribosomal RNA
Source: RNAcentral
ACGCUCGACACCUAUGGGAGGCAGCAGUGGGGAAUAUUGCACAAUGGGGGAAACCCUGAUGCAGCGACGCCGCGUGAGUGAAGAAGUAUUUCGGUAUGUAAAGCUCUAUCAGCAGGGAAGAAGAUGACGGUACCUGAGUAAGAAGCCCCGGCUAACUACGUGUCAGCAGCCGCGGUAAUCUGAGCGGGCUGGCAAGGC